RNAcentral lists this long non-coding RNA (526 nucleotides) under Struthio camelus australis. RNAcentral's name for it is "lncRNA (ENSSCUG00000017059.1)". Lineage: Eukaryota; Metazoa; Chordata; Aves; Struthioniformes; Struthionidae. The record is from RNAcentral.
UGCCACUGCAGAAUUUCAUGUGUCAUAUGGGCAUCAGCAAACACGUUCUGUCCUCUAAUGGACGAUGUUUUAGUCUCGGCUUGAACUCAGAGAAGAUGAUCCUUUUCUACCACCAUCGCAAGGGGUCUGAAGGACUUGGAAAUCACUACUUAGAAAGCUGUCUAACCGUGCUGUUAGCUCCCAUUUUCUUCCAGAAAUGGGAAAAUUGCUCUAUAUUCGGAAACAUGUUCUUUCUUUGUUCAGUAAGCUGCGUUUUCAUUUUUGGCAUCCAUAUUUAAAUCCUAAUGCACAAACAUAUAUGAAUGAUGUGGGUUUUGCCGCUGAUGGUUUUCAGUCCUGCCAUGUCUUCAGCUGUGCAGGCAACUUAACCCCUUGUUUGCUUUAGCAGAAGACCACAGGCUCUUUGCAGAAGGUGGUCUUGGGAUGCACAGCGUGUCGCACACAGCACAGAGGUCUGUCAACAAACCAUCCCCAUCUUGCAGUCCUACCUUAAUUCAAAAAAUAAAUGGUGUGCUAAGCCCGGUCA